CGGUUGAUCCUGCCGGAGGCCACUGCUCUGUUGGUCCGACUAAGCCGUGCGAGUCAUGGGGCGCCUUGCGCGCUUCGGCGGACGGCUCAGUAACACGUCGGUAACCUACCCUCGGGAGGGGGAUAACCCCGGGAAACUGGGGCUAAUCCCCCGUAGGCCUGAGGUACUGGAAGGUCCUCAGGCCGAAAGGGUCUUUGACCGCCCGAGGAUGGGCCGGCGGCCGAUUAGGUAGUUGGUGGGGUAACGGCCCACCAAGCCGAAGAUCGGUACGGGCCAUGAGAGUGGGAGCCCGGAGAUGGACACUGAGACACGGGUCCAGGCCCUACGGGGCGCAGCAGGCGCGAAACCUCCGCAAUGCUCGAAAGAGCGACGGGGGGACCCCCAGUGCCGUGGCAUCGCCACGGCUUUUCCGGAGUGUAAAGAGCUCCGGGAAUAAGGGCUGGGCAAGGCCGGUGGCAGCCGCCGCGGUAAUACCGGCGGCCCGAGUGGUGGCCGCUAUUAUUGGGCCUAAAGCGUCCGUAGCCGGGCCAGUAAGUCCCUGGCGAAAUCCCACGGCUCAACCGUGGGGCUUGCUGGGGAUACUGCUGGCCUUGGGACCGGGAGAGGCGGAGGGUACUCCUGGGGUAGGGGUGAAAUCCUAUAAUCCCAGGAGGACCGCCAGUGGCG
RNAcentral lists this ribosomal RNA (666 nucleotides) under uncultured archaeon. Its description in RNAcentral is "bacterial SSU rRNA". It matches the Rfam family "Archaeal small subunit ribosomal RNA", at positions 5 to 668 of the family's 1478-position model. The record is from RNAcentral.